RNAcentral lists this ribosomal RNA (294 nucleotides) under uncultured bacterium. Its description in RNAcentral is "partial 16S ribosomal RNA". It matches the Rfam family "Bacterial small subunit ribosomal RNA", at positions 337 to 648 of the family's 1533-position model. The record is from RNAcentral.
CCCUACGGGGCGCAGCAGUGGGGAAUAUUGCACAAUGGGGGAAACCCUGAUGCAGCGACGCCGCGUGAGUGAAGAAGUAUUUCGGUAUGUAAAGCUCUAUCAGCAGGGAAGAAAAUGACGGUACCUGACUAAGAAGCCCCGGCUAACUACGUGCCAGCAGCCGCGGUAAUACGUAGGGGGCAAGCGUUAUCCGGAUUUACUGGGUGUAAAGGGAGCGUAGACGGCCAGACAAGUCAGAAGUGAAAGCCCAGGGCUCAAUCCUGGGACUGCUUUUGCACCGGCCGGGCCGGACAG